This 211-nucleotide long non-coding RNA is filed under the name Lathyrus oleraceus (garden pea). Its description in RNAcentral is "Pisum sativum (pea) long non-coding RNA (PSAT_LNC008823)". The record is from RNAcentral. Lineage: Eukaryota; Viridiplantae; Streptophyta; Magnoliopsida; Fabales; Fabaceae.
GUGGGUUCUAUUUAGAUGAUCAGUCAACACAAGGGAAGGACUUGAGUUACUUCCAACAGGGGUCUAUUCUUCAGUCAAAACGUUAAUCUUGAAGGAGCAAAAGUUUGUUCAUGAGCUGUCAUGCUCGUUAGGCGAGCAGAAUGGGUCACCUAGCGAGUCCCAAGAAAAGCCACCAGAAUCACCUACGCUCAAAGGAAUUUCUUUAACUGUC